RNAcentral lists this long non-coding RNA (1216 nucleotides) under Capra hircus (goat). RNAcentral's name for it is "lncRNA (ENSCHIG00010028043.1)". The record is from RNAcentral. Lineage: Eukaryota; Metazoa; Chordata; Mammalia; Artiodactyla; Bovidae.
CAACUGGAGAAAGGGAGAGAGGGAUAAGGAGGGGAAGAGGAAAGAGGNNNNNNNNNNNNNNNNNNNNNNNNNNNNNNNNNNNNNNNNNNNNNNNNNNNNNNCUCUACUUAACUAUGUCAUGAAGAGUUGGACACAACUGAACAACUGAACUGAACUGAACAAGCAUCUUUCUAUGUCACCAAAUACAGAUGGAUACCCUUUAUAUGUGCCACAGUGGAUUUGAACCAGUCCCCCAUUGGGAGGCAUUUUGUUCUAGAUAUUGUUUCCUAAACACUUCUGUCUGCUUUAUAUUGUCCUUGGAAAUAGCAGGCACUACCUAUAACUGAAUCUUUCCCUGGUGAUUCAGCGUGUGGGUAUCCAUUCAUGUCCAAUCACUACAGGGCCUCAGGCUGAAAGACUGAAGCGAUCCCAGGGAAAAUUAAUAUGCCCCUCCCCAGUCCAGCCAGAGGGCCCCUGGAAGCCUCUAAGCGGCCGCCUUUCCCACAGCCCCGCGUCUUUUGUUGUCGCUGCGCUCCUUCUCUACCUUCCUCACCCCUUUCUCCUCCAUAAACACAGACACAGGCCGAGAGCGUGUUCACUUCCUGAAGGGGAAAAGGACCAUCUGUUCCAAUACCCUCUCCUAGCAUUCUCCACCCCAAUGCAGAGUGGAUAAUGCUUCUAGAAACUGUGAGCAGUUUGAGAAUUGGGUCACUGACCUAUUCAUCUUUGUACUCCAGCGCCAAUGACCAUGCUAGGCAUAUACGAAGUGCUCGGCAGUGGCUACUGAAGUUAGAUCACAGUGUUGGCCUUUGAGGGAUAAGAGUUUAGGGUCCUAGGACUAUGUCCCUUUACUACAGAGCUGUUGUAUUUCCUGCUGCUUCAGUAAAAUUUCUUUUUUUCAUUUUAGGACUCUUGGGGCUUGCUGAGCCAGUCACCACCUUUGAUCACCACCUUGAAUACCAUCACCAUGCACUUCUGUCUUCUUAUAUAUGCCAUUCUUCUUUCUAUUUCGUUACCCCGUUACUGCUUUUCUGAUGCUUUUUUUGUUUUAAAUCCAAAGUCUACUCACUUACUAAAUGUUGUUAGCCAGUAGAAGAUUCGUGUUUUUCCCCAUAGCUUCAAAUGACCAGCCAUAAAACAGUUGAGUCCAGGAUAUUCUGGAAUAUGUACUGAUGGCUUGCAGUCCCUAAAAUACGUGAAUAUGGGUGAGAGAGGUUAGGUUUUUUUGCUAUUAUUC